GCCAUGCCUGUGAUGGUUUUAAAAGUAGUUUGAAUACUUUAUGUGAAAAAAGAAACCGGUCUGAGGCAUUUA
This 72-nucleotide small nucleolar RNA is filed under the name Nelumbo nucifera (sacred lotus). Lineage: Eukaryota; Viridiplantae; Streptophyta; Magnoliopsida; Proteales; Nelumbonaceae. The record is from RNAcentral.